CAGGAAGAAAGCUCAAAGACCUUUCCUGUCAGUUUCCCACUUCUCAACAGACAUUGUGGCCUGAACAUGAACACUGCUUCGCUUUGGCUUGAGUGACCACAGUGAAUUGCCUCUCUGAUUUACCUCACUACCCUCUCAAAGACGGAUUUUCACAAGAAACAACCUUGCUCCUUAUUAAACCCUUAUUAAAAUCCUCGGAUGGGGGGCUUCUUCUACUCAUGCAGAAUAAGCCGAUAAUAUAUAGUUUCAUGUGCAGGAACUAUAUAAUAUAUAGUUCCAUGUCCCCCUCCUCCCCGGGAAUAUUCCAUCAUGCAAGUGUGUAGUUUAAUCCAGGCACAAGUUUAUCAUCUCACUUUCUGCUUGUGAGAACUAGAUCAGGACACUGUGGGACAGAGAUAAGAGCAGGUACUAAAAACAGCCUGCACGGACUAAGCUGAGGUGUGCCAAAGUCCAACAAAAGCCUGCCUAGUUCGAUGUUUUCAACUCUUAACUGGAAAGAAAACCAUUCCACCAGUACUACACUGGGUCCAAAGUCUUGCGUGUGGGAUUCUUGAGCAUAUACUUCUAAGAUCUAUUUUGUUAAAGAUUUUCUUAUCCUAGGAUUUGAAAAAUCCCAAGUGCCAAGUACAUAGCAUCUAAAUAUUGUGGUGCCUUGUAUUUCAUCUAUGAUUUCAUUGUAGGGUCUCCCAGAUCCUCCAAAGCACGAAACUUAUUUAUCAUUUCACAUACAAGACUUUUUUUAUCACAAAAAUGUAUUAAUCAGUUGUUCCAUAUAGUCCCUCCAAUAUACAAUUAAAUGAAAUUGUGAAGAAUUGUGAGAAAUUGUGAAGAAUUUAGAUUAGCUUUAUGUUACAAUAAUGAUAAACAGGGUUAGCCAAUAUUUAUUUAUAUGCUACAUUUCUGUCAUAACUCCAUUAAAAUUACAAAAAACCCCGCUAUGAAAUGUUUACAAUUAGAUGUUGUGGUACUAAUAACUAGGAAGUUGUAGUCAAAAUACAAAACCCUGAAGACUCAAAAAUCAGUCUGACUCCUAAAUUUUGGUCUAGCUCCUAGAGCCAAAGAACAUUUGCCACCUGAACAACUGCAUUUCCAUUUCCAUUUCUUAUAGACUUUGUGAAGGCAUUUUCACAUAUCAUUUCACGAGUCACUUCCAAAAUCACUGUAUUGACUCCUAUAACAAAGAAAGUAUGUGCUUCCUAGUAGCUCUUAAAUAUUAAACAAAUUGGACUGGAUCCAAGCUACUAUAAAAAAAAUAGGAAAGCCUUGAAGAAGUGAAUCCUUUCUACCUUUUCCUUCCACCACCAGCACAACAUAUCCCUCCAUUGUAAGCUGCUGCUCGGUGUAUGGGGCUCUCCAGAAUAUUAUGGUAUCAAAGUCUGUGACAAGAAGGAAGAAUUUGCCAAAACUGUUUUCCUUUACUGUUACACUAGUGGAUCAUGCUCAGUGACAGAAGCAAAAGCACACAAGACAAUUGGGUGGUGUCCAAUUUUUCUUUUCUUUUUUUUUGCUGCUGUUCCCUUGCUGCACGGCUUAUUGUUCAGGAGGACCCUUCAACAGUGGCUUUAUGGGGCUGCUGGAGAAAGGAGAAGAUAAGAAAGAUCUACUUCUAUGAAUCCCCUUCAUUCAGACACCUUGGAUGCAACCCACUGUUUUUACUUCGGAAAAUCAAUCAUUUAAGUAAUCUUUUCGUUGCGCCUUUCUUAUUCAAUAAAUAUUCUUAAUUUUAAAGGAUUAAUUACUAUUUCAGUGUAAACAGUGCAUAGAGUUUGCUUAUAUGAAUAGCAAAUAAAUUAUCAAUCAUAUUGUUAAAACUUUCCAAUAAAUUCUUUCCUAAACCUCAA
This is a long non-coding RNA of Sphaerodactylus townsendi, 1841 nucleotides long. RefSeq lists it as uncharacterized. The record is from RefSeq and is a predicted model, not a curated record. The transcript is spliced from 3 exons. NCBI's taxonomy places the organism in Eukaryota, Metazoa, Chordata, Lepidosauria, Squamata, Sphaerodactylidae.